CUUUUGAAACGCUUGGUUUUCUCUGGCCAUGGUGUGGAAUCUUCAGUUUAUAUUCUUGCAGGAAAUCUUUUAGAAAUGGAUUACUAUUAAAGGGUGUUUAGAUGUUCAUGCAGAAGCAUCUUUAUUGAAAUCCUUGCUGCACAAGUAAGAUUCUGUUGGAAGCUUGCUUUUGGACACGAGCCCAAACACGAGGGAGCAGUUCCAUAGCUCGAGUCGACCACACCAUAGGAAGAGUGGGGAUUCAACAGCCCUGUUUAAAACUUCUUGGGGGCUACAUAAGUUUUGGAUCAAGCUAAUAUUUCGUUGUUCCCUUUAUCCAGUUCGGAGUCAUCUUUCGAAAGGUGUUCAUGAAUGGCAUAUAAACAUCAAGGUGCACUCUGGAAACUCUCCAACGGUGGGUGCUUUAUUCUAGCGCUGGGUGCUUUUAUUCUUAAAAAUGGAUGGACAAAGUGGACAUAUAACACAUACAUGACAGUGUGUUCCACAGAGCUUAAAGUUGCAGAAAUCCCCUUUAAAAAUACCCGCGGGCCAGAUUGCUGCAGGCAAUCCGCGUCCCUCUGGUCGAUUUUCCUACACCUGAUUUCCAUUUUUUCGAAUUUAAAUAAUACAAAAGUAUACUUGUAUAGUUGCACCAGCCCUCGAUUACAAGAACAAACAUGAGCAUAUGUGCAAGUCAAUCAUGGCCGUGAGUGCCGAGUAUGUUAUAGGCAAUUGAGGUGAAAAUAGUAUGCUUUUCGUGAUCUUAAUUAGGGAAUCAUGACCAUUCGUUGAAUCCCAUGAAAUAGAACGUUCAUCAGUCAGGGUGAAUGAAAAUAGGUGCAGGGCCAGCAUAACUCGCAUAGGUACAAGGCUCAUGCCUACUUGUAAUGUUGGGGGAACAUCUUUUGCCUUAAUCCCAAACAACCUUUUUACAGAGCUUCAAUCAUCAGAGGUCCACCGAAAAUCGAAAGAGAGUAGUGGAAUUUCGUGUGUUUUCCAAAUUCAUGUGGUGUUGCUAGCCUAUGUUUUGUGAUAAUGUAAUUUUUAGUAUGUUCAGUCAUCUUGGUUAGGCACGUCCGGUGACUGACUAUGUUGCCCUAUGGCUCAACCCUGCAAUAAUUGUGGGUGUUCUCAUUCCAAUGGUUGCCUAUUAUAUAACUUAGAGUUUUGGAUCGGCCUGGUUUUUGGUCUCCUAGCAGACAUGAGGCAGCACACUCGAUGGACGGUUGGAUCUCAUACACAUUCCCUACCAUUACAUUCUGCUAUCAGCAGGCAUUGUCAUGUAUAUAUACGCGAGCUAGGCUAAUGUUGUCCACUAAAAAGGUGGCAGUCAUUUAUCUUUCCUGCAGAUUAUACUUCUUUUUUUAUUUUAUUUUCUUCUCGUUCUUUAUUCUAAUAUGAAUUGUUCAAGUAGCCUAAGAAUUUUUAGGAUUUGUUGAUGCAUAAAGAAGUACUAAAUUUUCUUUUCUUUUUAUUUCUCUCUUUGGUUUUUUAUUUAUUUAUUUUUCCUUCUUAUAAUGAGGAAUGCUGAGGAGUUUUAUCCUAUGAACUCACAAUCAAGGUGAUUCAUCUCGUAUGUCCCACAAUAGAUGGGGUGAAAGUCCUGAUUAGAUAUUAUCAUCGUCCCAGCCUGGGUUAAAAUCUGGAACAUUUUUUCUGACUCACAUUUGAUACUUAUAGCAGAGUGUGAUGGAUGAUUAACAAACACUUAGAAAUUACUUAAACAUUGCCUAAGUUUAAUAUAAUUAAUCCAAAUUACACUGUAAAUUAUUGGUCUAGUUUAGAUGUACCGUGAACUAAAAGUUAGGGUUAUUUGAUUAUCUGACUAUUGGAUUGGGGGUACAAUUAUUAGAUGGUUAAAAAUGGAAAAUAUUCUGUGUACUUAGUUCAACAGACAAGUGUCCACUAAACAGAUAUUACGAUUGUGUAGCCCAUUUGAAUUUUUUACUGUAACUUUGUGACAGUGAGCUCUAAUUGUAAUCAGUUUAACUUGAGUUAAUGACACGUGUAUAAUUAUUUCUGCGUGCCUGCAUAUAGAGGAGCAUAUGCUUCUGGAGUACAAAAAAACUCCCCUUUCCCAAUUUUUUAUUGUUAGCACCAGCUUUACUUUUUUUGUCUCUCAAUAAUUAAUUUGAUUGGUGACCAUAAACAAUAUUGUCACAGGGCGAAAUGAUGGGUGGCCCAUCUAUAUAAUAUUUAAAAAAAUCCAAUUAAUGAUCUAAAGAAUCCAUUAUGCGUCCUACCUUUGCCUGAUUCUCUCUCCAAAUUUUCCGUAAUCACUGGAAGAAUAUACAAUCGGUGGUGGUUAUACUACAAAAGUUUGACUUUGACAUGGACUAUCCAUCAUGUGGUGCCCAUCAUUCAUCUACCAUGCCUCUGAAAUUCCAUCGUAUAUUUUUCGAUUCACAUAGUAAAUAAAGAAUACAUGGGUAAUUAUUAUUUACCCUUAUAUUUAUCUCUGCCGGCGGCCCCUUCACAUGUCUUGAUGUUGACAGUGCUAAAAUUGAGGGGAAGAGGAUUUUUUUUUUUCACUAAAAUAUUUGGGGAUACUGUUAUGUAUUUGAUUGAUCCGCGCUGUCUAUUCAAUUUCUCUUCUCAUUUUAGAGCAUGAGCCAAAAAAUAAGGUAAAUCCAAGUCUCAGGUGGACCACACCAUAUGAAACAGGGGAAUUGAACUCUUACCGUUCAUUUCUUCUUUGGGGCCAUAGAAGUUUUGGAUCAAGCUUAUUUUUGUGUUUUCCCUUCAUCAUGUUCGUGUGAUGUUAUCAACAGGUUGGAUGGCAGGUACACAUCCUUAUGAGCCCUAUGCUUAUUUAGCUUUCAAUGGUAGGCAUUCAAAUCCCCUUGUGUGGUACACUUGUGCUUUGCGUCUGCCUCAUUUUUGAGUCAUGGUCUAGAUUGAGCACCUAAAAUAUAUGGACGCCGUGGAUCAAAGAAUUGCAUAAUGAUGGCCGCACAAAUUUUGCCACGAUAAUUUCACGAGGAUGACAUCAUCUUUCCCCACGGUUUUUUGGAGGCCAAAAUAUACCCUCAAUUCCUAUUUUGCAAUCAACUGUAAAGAGUAAAGGCUCAGUGCUUCAUUUGUUUUGUGAAUGUCUAGCUUUUUCUCGGGUGCGCAUUCACAAAAUAAAUGAACAAUCUAAAGGAAAAAACUAUAAACAAGUAAAUAAAGCCCAACAAUCACGGUGCAUCGAACCUUAAAUCAUCUAGGGUCACUAAAACUUACCACACCAUGGCGGUCAAACUGCAGUAACAAUCGAAACAAGAGGGACGAAAAGAGUGUGAUGCAACCUAACCAAAAAAAAAAACAAAUUAACAAAGCUUCGGCUGUAUCCCACUAACCCUAUGUCCGGGAGCAUCAGAGCAAGUUCGAUUUUGAUGUAGAGCAAGUCACGGACACUUUAAUGUCCAAGAUGGACUAGAGAAGGCUCGAUGAGAGGCAGAGGUGAUUCGGACCACUAAAACCUUAAUAACAGGCAUAUCUCGUAAAUUGGAAUGAGUUACUCAACAUACCAUAUAUGAUUUUGGGCAGUAGAAGCCAUUGUAGCCAACCAACCCGACUAUGCAGGGUUGC
This is a long non-coding RNA of Magnolia sinica, 3552 nucleotides long. RefSeq lists it as uncharacterized. NCBI's taxonomy places the organism in Eukaryota, Viridiplantae, Streptophyta, Magnoliopsida, Magnoliales, Magnoliaceae. The record is from RefSeq and is a predicted model, not a curated record. The transcript has 3 exons.